UACGGGGGGGGCAAGCGUUGUUCGGAAUUACUGGGCGUAAAGGGCUCGUAGGUGGCCAACUAAGUCAGACGUGAAAUCCCUCGGCUUAACCGGGGAACUGCGUCUGAUACUGGAUGGCUUGAGUUCGGGAGAGGGAUGCGGAAUUCCAGGUGUAGCGGUGAAAUGCGUAGAUAUCUGGAGGAACACCGGUGGCGAAGGCGGCAUCCUGGACCGACACUGACGCUGAGGAGCGAAAGCCAGGGGAGCAAACGGGG
Molecule: ribosomal RNA, 254 nt
Filed under: uncultured bacterium
Lineage: Bacteria
Description: partial 16S ribosomal RNA
Rfam family: Bacterial small subunit ribosomal RNA
Source: RNAcentral